UUCUGAGCCGCUUAUCCUCACAAGGGUCGCGGGAGUGCUGGAGCCUGUCCUUAGAAUUGUGAGGCAGACGCUCUAACCAGUCGUCCACCGUGCCGCAAGUUGCUGUUGUUUUAUUAUUAUUCUAUUUGUCAUUCGCUUGAUUUAUUCUUAUUCAUUUAUGUACUUGUAUUUUUUUUAUUUUCUCUUUUUUUCUUUCUCACACUUUAUACUGAUUUGCAUGGUGAAAGGACACGUGCAUGGAGUGGGGAUCUUCUUGACCCUUUGUUUGCGGUUCCUGCGUCUGUGGGGGCGUGACUUUUGGGGGUGGGCUGGAGGGGUGGCAUUGGAUCCCUGCGCCCUCCUCCGGUUGGCCAGUUGUCGUGGCGCCUCGGUGGGGCCGGCGGACCGCCCUGGGUCCCUUGGUGUCGGAUGUGUCAGAUCCACCGGGCUGCUCUCCGGUAGACUCCUGGGCGAUCCCGCCUAUCGAUUGAUUGGGUGGGGUCCUCAGCCACCGCCGUGCAGGUGCUACCGUCAGUCUGUCAUCUGUGUUUCACCCUGAAACCAACGGACAAACCCGUAGGCUGAACCAGGACCUGGAGACUGGGCUCCGAUGUCUCGCUUCACAGGAGCCAGAAUCCUGGUCUCAGAAACUGGUUUGGGUCAAAUUCUCUCACAAUUCCCUCCCCUCUGCAUCCACUGGUCUAUCGCCUUUUCACGUUGUGCAUGGUUACCAACCAUCUCUAUUUCCUACCAUAGCCCCAGAGUCCACAGUUCCAGCGGCAUUGACCUUGGUGAGACGCUGCAGGAGGACCUGGGAGCGAGCCCGCCAGAUGCUACUGUGCCAGGGACGGUCCUACAAGACCGCAGCUGACCGUAGGAGGACACCGGCCCCAAACUACAAAGUGGGUCAGCGACUUUGGCUCUCCGCCAAGCAUAUUCCACUCCGGGUGGGGUCCAGGAAGCUCGCUCCCAGGUUCGUUGGGCCCUUCCCCAUCACAAAGAUCAUUAACCCUGUCACCGUGAAGCUGAGGCUCCCAAGGUCGAUGCGGGUCCACCCAGCUUUUCACGUCAGCCUGCUCAAGCCCGCCCGGCAUUGCCCUCUGGUCCCACCUUCCAGGCUCCGUCCUCCCCCCCGGUUCAUGGAUGGGGGCCCUGUCUUCACUGUGAGGCGGCUGUUGUCGUUUCAUCGCAGGGGGCGGGGGUUUCAAUAUCUGAUGGACUGGGAGGGCUACGGGCCUGAGGAACGUUCUUGGGUGCCGUCUGCGUUUAUCGUGGAUGACUCGCUCAUUCGGGUCUUCCACGUUGCGCAUCCAGGGGCUCUUGGGCCGUCUGGGGCCGGCCGUUAAGGUGGGGGGGGGAGGGGUGCACUGUCAUGGGUGUGUGUUCCGGAUGUUGUUUUCCCCCUGUCUCGUACACACCUGCUCCUGAGAGCAUCUUCACCACCUGUGCCUGGUUCACCCUAAUUACCACUUGCAUUUAAUCUCGUGUCUCAUUCUUUCUAGUCGCCAGUUUGUUGAUGGACUGGGAGGGCUACGGGCCUGAGGAACGUUCUUGGGUGGCAUCUGCGUUUAUCGUGGAUGACUCGCUCAUUCGGGUCUUCCACGUUGCGCAUCCAGAGGCUCUGGGGCCGGCCGUUAAGGUGGGGGGGGGGGGGGGGGUGCACUGUCAUGGGUGUGUGUUCCGGAUGUUGUUUUCCCCCUGUCUCGUACACACCUGCUCCUGAGAGCAUCUUCACCACCUGUGCCUGGUUCACCCUAAUUACCCCUUGCAUUUAACCUCGUGUCUCAUUCUUUCUAGUCGCCAGUUUGUUGUACCUUGUCGUCGCGUUCCAGCAUUCCUUGUUUCCACGUCACAGACUCACAGUAAGACUAGACCCUGUUCCGAUUAUCGACCUCGCCUUUUUGCCUUUUUACUGUUGCCUUUUUUUGGAUUGACUGCCUGUGUACCAACCUCUGCCUGUAUAUUAAACCUCUCUUUUUUAAACUG
Molecule: long non-coding RNA, 1965 nt
Organism: Phyllopteryx taeniolatus (common seadragon)
Lineage: Eukaryota; Metazoa; Chordata; Actinopteri; Syngnathiformes; Syngnathidae
Exons: 2
Source: RefSeq, a predicted model, not a curated record